Molecule: long non-coding RNA, 432 nt
Organism: Ochlerotatus camptorhynchus
Lineage: Eukaryota; Metazoa; Arthropoda; Insecta; Diptera; Culicidae
Exons: 2
Source: RefSeq, a predicted model, not a curated record
UCGACGGCAAAGUUCUUAAUUAUGUAACUGAUACUUCUUCCAUGUCCAACUGUCCAAUUUGUGGAGCUACUCCGAAUGCAAUGAGUGAUAUAGAGAAGUUUGAAGCAGGAUACGAUUCGAACGAAGAUGCUCUGCAUUACGGCAUAUCUCCACUGCACGCUUGGAUGCGAUUUUUUGAGUGUUUAUUACAUAUUUACUGUAGGAUGGAAAUUAAAACGUGGAAGAUCACGAAGGAUUUAAAGGCCAAAUAUCUUGAACGGAAAAAACUCGUUACUCAAAAAAUGUACGAAGCGUUCGGAGUACGAGUUGAUCAACCCAGGGCAGGCGGAGCUGGGACCAGUACAACAGGAAAUGUGUGUCGAAAAGCAUUUUCAACUCCUGAAUUACUUUCCAAAGUUUUGGAUAUCGACGAAGAGCUUAUUAUUAGAUUUC